RNAcentral lists this long non-coding RNA (591 nucleotides) under Olea europaea subsp. europaea. Lineage: Eukaryota; Viridiplantae; Streptophyta; Magnoliopsida; Lamiales; Oleaceae. The record is from RNAcentral.
GUCGUAAACAAAGCAAAUAAUUAUUUGGUAAAUUUUUACUAAUUUUAACAAUUUAAAUAAGAAUACGAAGAUGAAUAAAGUCAGGCUUAAGAACAGAGGAGUCAGAAAAUGAUAGGUUGAUUUUGAUUACGUCCACACGUCUCAUCAGAAUUUGAGUCUAAAUUUGAGCUUGGAUAUAUGUAACAUGAUUUUAGAUUUUUUUGGUUUUUGAAACCACAAAAAUAAUUAUUUUAAUAAUAGAGAAAUAUAAAUUUCCGAUGAAAAACUCACCAUCGUUGGAAGGACCAAUCGGUGCCGGCGACGGCGCCAUUUCUUGUCCGAAACUGUAUUGGAUUAGUGCCAUCAGCAUAAAUCCAAUAAUGGAGAAACUGAACGAUUUAGCGCUCGACAUUGAAUUCAUCUUCGAUUAAGCAAUAGAUUCGGUACAGGGAACGAAACUUUUAGAACAAUUUUUCAAACCAGUGGUAUGAAUUCUAAGAGAAAAUGAAGGAUUCGGAAUGGAACAGGAAAUGGGGCGCGCAAAUGGUAUAUAUAGCUGAAGAGUCCAACGGCGGCGCGUGAGAAAGGAGAAAUGAAGCUUCCAGGAACGAA